Molecule: ribosomal RNA, 713 nt
Filed under: Streptococcus anginosus
Lineage: Bacteria; Bacillati; Bacillota; Bacilli; Lactobacillales; Streptococcaceae
Description: bacterial SSU rRNA
Rfam family: Bacterial small subunit ribosomal RNA
Source: RNAcentral
CAUGUGUAGCGGUGAAAUGCGUAGAUAUAUGGAGGAACACCGGUGGCGAAAGCGGCUCUCUGGUCUGUAACUGACGCUGAGGCUCGAAAGCGUGGGGAGCGAACAGGAUUAGAUACCCUGGUAGUCCACGCCGUAAACGAUGAGUGCUAGGUGUUAGGUCCUUUCCGGGACUUAGUGCCGUAGCUAACGCAUUAAGCACUCCGCCUGGGGAGUACGACCGCAAGGUUGAAACUCAAAGGAAUUGACGGGGGCCCGCACAAGCGGUGGAGCAUGUGGUUUAAUUCGAAGCAACGCGAAGAACCUUACCAGGUCUUGACAUCCCGAUGCUAUUUCUAGAGAUAGGAAGUUUCUUCGGAACAUCGGUGACAGGUGGUGCAUGGUUGUCGUCAGCUCGUGUCGUGAGAUGUUGGGUUAAGUCCCGCAACGAGCGCAACCCUUAUUGUUAGUUGCCAUCAUUGAGUUGGGCACUCUAGCGAGACUGCCGGUAAUAAACCGGAGGAAGGUGGGGAUGACGUCAAAUCAUCAUGCCCCUUAUGACCUGGGCUACACACGUGCUACAAUGGCUGGUACAACGAGUCGCAAGCCGGUGACGGCAAGCUAAUCUCUGAAAGCCAGUCUCAGUUCGGAUUGUAGGCUGCAACUCGCCUACAUGAAGUCGGAAUCGCUAGUAAUCGCGGAUCAGCACGCCGCGGUGAAUACGUUCCCGGGCCUUG